Molecule: long non-coding RNA, 273 nt
Organism: Nicotiana attenuata
Lineage: Eukaryota; Viridiplantae; Streptophyta; Magnoliopsida; Solanales; Solanaceae
Exons: 3
Source: RefSeq, a predicted model, not a curated record
CGUAGCAGGAGAAGAGAGAUAAUAGUUACAAAUGAAAGGUCUGAUCUUACAUCUAUCACUUUAUGGGGAGAUUUUGCUGAAAAUGAUGGUGAACUUCUUGAAAAGAUGAAAUACGAUAAACCAAUCCUUGGCUUUUGUGAUGUUAGAGUCUCAAUUUACAAAGGCGUGAUUCCAUGAAGGCGGAAAAUAAAGAUAUUGCAUUAAUACCAACUAAGGCAAUGAAAAGCGCCAAAGAAGUGAAGUUAGUUGAUAUUAUGGAUGGCGUACUUGCAG